GACGAACCGUGCGAACGUUAUUCGGAAUCACUGGGCUUAAAGCGCGUGUAGGCGGGCCGGCACGUCGGUGCCUGAAAGCCCCCGGCUCAACCGGGGAAUGGGGUCCGAUACGACCGGCCUGGAGGGACGUAGGGGGACCUGGAACUUCCGGUGGAGCGGUGAAAUGCGUUGAGAUCGGAAGGAACGCCCGUGGCGAAAGCGAGGUCCUGGACGUCUGCUGACGCUGAGACGCGAAAGCCAGGGGAGCGAACGGG
RNAcentral lists this ribosomal RNA (254 nucleotides) under uncultured bacterium. RNAcentral describes it as "partial 16S ribosomal RNA". It matches the Rfam family "Bacterial small subunit ribosomal RNA", at positions 524 to 776 of the family's 1533-position model. The record is from RNAcentral.